Molecule: long non-coding RNA, 935 nt
Filed under: Elaeis guineensis (African oil palm)
Lineage: Eukaryota; Viridiplantae; Streptophyta; Magnoliopsida; Arecales; Arecaceae
Description: long non-coding RNA (EGUI_LNC072661)
Source: RNAcentral
UGAUCUAUCGACUUUUUUAUUGUAACUGAUCUAGUGACUUUGUUAUUGUAAGGUCUAACGGUUCUCAUAUCUGUUUUUAUAUAUGUAUCUAUGUGUGUAUGCAUGCAUCAAAUACUUCAUAAUAAUCUUUGUUUGAUGAAAAUCCAAAGUUUUCCUUUUCUGAUCUAUUGACUCUGUUAUUGUAACUGAUCUAGUGACCUUGUUAUUGUAAUAUCUAAUGGGUCUCAUAUAUGUAUGUAUGUGCAUAUGCAUGCAUGCAUGCAUGUUUGUACAUAUGACUUUCUUAUAUAUGAUAUAUGUCUUCUAGAUCCUGUGACUAUAAAUUGAAUAUGAACUUCAUAGAUGCUGUUAUGCACUCAAUCCAGACUCCCAGAUUACUACUCAUAUGUAGUUACAUUCCAGAUAUCAGUAGCUGAUUCAUAAUCUUUUACCAUUUCAUAUUAUUGCUUCUAUCUGAUUAUUUUGUGAAGUUACAACUUCGAUUGACGAUCAUGAUAUUAAAUCUUGAACAAAUGUUUGCUGCAAUUUAGCAAAAAUGAUGCUCUAAUCCUAAGUAAACUGUUGCGGAACAAGUCGAUCAGGAUAUUCAAUCUUGAACAAAUGUUUGCUGCAAUUUAGCAAAAAUGACGCUCUAAUCCUAAGUAAACUGUUGCGGAACAUGAUCGUUGACCAUUUUAUCAUAAACUUCAUCAAAAUGACGUAUCCCAUGUUUUGUUUAUGGAUAAUGAUAUUUCAUUCAAUUGAGACCUAUGUAGAUCAAGAUAUUGUCAAGAGUUUUUUUUCUUUUUUCAUAAAUUCAAUAUCAUAGAUCUCUUUGUGCUUUUCUUGGUCGUUGCACCCUCUUUAUAGGCCCUUCAACUAGAGCUUGAAUGCCCUCUACCAUCUAGUGUUUGGUAGUGAGUUCUAGUAUUUAGAGUUCUUUCCAAGUCCAAACC